CCUACGGGAGGCAGCAGUGAGGAAUAUUGGUCAAUGGACGAGAGUCUGAACCAGCCAAGUAGCGUGAAGGAUGACUGCCCUAUGGGUUGUAAACUUCUUUUAUAUGGGAAUAAAGUGAGGCACGUGUGCCUUUUUGUAUGUACUUUAUGAAUAAGGAUCGGCUAACUCCGUGACAGCAGCCGCGGUAAUACGGAGGAUGCGAGCGUUAUCCGGAUUUAUUGGGUUUAAAGGGAGCGUAGAUGGGUUGUUAAGUCAGUUGUGAAAGUUUUCGGCUCAACCGUAAAAGUGCAAUUGAUACUGGCAGUCUUGAGUACAGUUGAGGUAGGCGGAAUUCGUGGUGUAGCGGUGAAAUGCUUAGAUAUCACGAAGAACUCCGAUUGCGAAGGCAGCUUACUAAACUGCCACUGACAUUGAUGCUCGAAAGUGUGGGUAUCAAACAGGAUUAGAUACCCUAGUAGUC
Molecule: ribosomal RNA, 460 nt
Filed under: uncultured bacterium
Lineage: Bacteria
Description: partial 16S ribosomal RNA
Rfam family: Bacterial small subunit ribosomal RNA
Source: RNAcentral